GGCAGCUUUCGGUAGCUUUACUGACGCUGAUGCUCGAAGGUGCGGGUAUCGAACAGGAUUAGAUACCCUGGUAGUCCGCACGGUAAACGAUGGACACUCGCUGUUCUGGCUAUUAGUUAGAGCGGCUUAGCGAAAGCGUUAAGUGUCCCACCUGGGGAGUACGCCGGCAACGGUGAAACUCAAAGGAAUUGACGGGGGCCCGCACAAGCGGAGGAACAUGUGGUUUAAUUCGAUGAUACGCGAGGAACCUUACCCGGGCUUGAACUGCAGGAGAAGGAUCUAGAGAUAGUGACGUCCUUCGGGACUCCUGUGGAGGUGCUGCAUGGUUGUCGUCAGCUCGUGCCGUGAGGUGUCGGCUUAAGUGCCAUAACGAGCGCAACCCCUGCCUUUAGUUGCCAUCAGGUAGAGCUGGGCACUCUGGAGGGACUGCCACCGCAAGGUGUGAGGAAGGUUGGGAUGACGUCAAAUCAGCACGGCCUGAACGGCCGUGACUACACACGUGUUACAAUGGGGCAUACAGCGAGUUGGUGUGUGGCAACGCACAUCUAAUCAUGAAAAUGUCUCGUAGUUCGGAUUGGGGUCUGCAACCCGACCCCAUGA
RNAcentral lists this ribosomal RNA (600 nucleotides) under uncultured bacterium. RNAcentral describes it as "bacterial SSU rRNA". It matches the Rfam family "Bacterial small subunit ribosomal RNA", at positions 720 to 1323 of the family's 1533-position model. The record is from RNAcentral.